CGUGUAGGCUGCUCGGAAAGUCGGAUGUGAAAGCCCUGGGCUCAACCUAGGAAGUGCAUUCGAAACUUCCAAGCUGGAGUGCUGGAGAGGAAGGCGGAAUUCUCGGUGUAGAGGUGAAAUUCGUAGAUAUCGAGAGGAACACCGGUGGCGAAGGCGGCCUUCUGGACAGUUACUGACGCUGAGACGCGAAAGCGUGGGAGCAAACA
RNAcentral lists this ribosomal RNA (206 nucleotides) under uncultured delta proteobacterium. RNAcentral describes it as "partial 16S ribosomal RNA". It matches the Rfam family "Bacterial small subunit ribosomal RNA", at positions 568 to 774 of the family's 1533-position model. The record is from RNAcentral. Lineage: Bacteria; Deltaproteobacteria.